AGUGAACGCUGGCGGUAGGCCUAGCACAUGCAAGUCGAACGGCAGCACAGUAAGAGCUUGCUCUUACGGGUGGCGAGUGGCGGACGGGUGAGGAAUACAUCGGAAUCUACUUUUUCGUGGGGGAUAGCGUAGGGAAACUUACGCUAAUACCGCAUACGACCUACGGGUGAAAGCAGGGGAUCUUCGGACCUUGCGCGAUUGAAUGAGCCGAUGUCGGAUUAGCUAGUUGGCGGGGUAAAGGCCCACCAAGGCGACGAUCCGUAGCUGGUCUGAGAGGAUGAUCAGCCACACUGGAACUGAGACACGGUCCAGACUCCUACGGGAGGCAGCAGUGGGGAAUAUUGGACAAUGGGCGCAAGCCUGAUCCAGCCAUACCGCGUGGGUGAAGAAGGCCUUCGGGUUGUAAAGCCCUUUUGUUGGGAAAGAAAAGCAGCAGGUUAAUACCCCGCUGUUCUGACGGUACCCAAAGAAUAAGCACCGGCUAACUUCGUG
This 492-nucleotide ribosomal RNA is filed under the name uncultured bacterium. Its description in RNAcentral is "partial 16S ribosomal RNA". It matches the Rfam family "Bacterial small subunit ribosomal RNA", at positions 29 to 507 of the family's 1533-position model. The record is from RNAcentral.